CCUACGGGAGGCAGCAGUGGGGAAUAUUGCGCAAUGGGCGAAAGCCUGACGCAGCGACGCCGCGUGAGGGAUGAAGGUCUUCGGAUCGUAAACCUCUGUCAGCAGGGAAGAACGGUCACUGUGCUAAUCAGCAGUGAAUUGACGGUACCUGCAAAGGAAGCACCGGCUAACUCCGUGCCAGCAGCCGCGGUAAUACGGAGGGUGCGAGCGUUAAUCGGAAUUACUGGGCGUAAAGCGCUCGUAGGCGGUAUGUCAAGUCAAGGGUGAAAUCCCCGCGCUCAACGUGGGAACUGCCUUUGAAACUGGCAAACUGGAGUGUGUGAGAGGAUAGUGGAAUUGCAGGUGUAGGAGUGAAAUGCGUAGAUAUCUGGAGGAACAUCAGUGGCGAAGGCGACUAUCUGGCACAUAACUGACGCUGAGGAGCGAAAGCGUGGGUAGCAAACAGGAUUAGAUACCCGAGUAGUC
Molecule: ribosomal RNA, 465 nt
Filed under: uncultured bacterium
Lineage: Bacteria
Description: partial 16S ribosomal RNA
Rfam family: Bacterial small subunit ribosomal RNA
Source: RNAcentral